RNAcentral lists this transfer RNA (90 nucleotides) under Sandaracinaceae bacterium. Its description in RNAcentral is "tRNA-Ser". It matches the Rfam family "tRNA". Rfam says of the family: Transfer RNA (tRNA) molecules are approximately 80 nucleotides in length. Their secondary structure includes four short double-helical elements and three loops (D, anti-codon, and T loops). Further hydrogen bonds mediate the characteristic L-shaped molecular structure. tRNAs have two regions of fundamental functional importance: the anti-codon, which is responsible for specific mRNA codon recognition, and the 3' end, to which the tRNAs corresponding amino acid is attached (by aminoacyl-tRNA synthetases). tRNAs cope with the degeneracy of the genetic code in two manners: having more than one tRNA (with a specific anti-codon) for a particular amino acid; and 'wobble' base-pairing, i.e. permitting non-standard base-pairing at the 3rd anti-codon position. Lineage: Bacteria; Pseudomonadati; Myxococcota; Polyangiales; Sandaracinaceae. The record is from RNAcentral.
GGAGAGCUGGCCGAGUGGUCGAAGGCGCUUGAUUCGAAAUCAAGUGAUCCCUUACGGGUUCCAAGGGUUCGAAUCCCUUGCUCUCCGCCA